GGGGUAUAGCUCAGUUGGGAGAGCACCUGCUUUGCAAGCAGGGGGUCAAGGGUUCGAAUCCCUUUAUCUCC
This 71-nucleotide transfer RNA is filed under the name Subdoligranulum variabile. It matches the Rfam family "tRNA". Rfam says of the family: Transfer RNA (tRNA) molecules are approximately 80 nucleotides in length. Their secondary structure includes four short double-helical elements and three loops (D, anti-codon, and T loops). The record is from RNAcentral. RNAcentral also lists the same sequence under 2 other names. Lineage: Bacteria; Bacillati; Bacillota; Clostridia; Eubacteriales; Oscillospiraceae.